RNAcentral lists this long non-coding RNA (2291 nucleotides) under Homo sapiens (human). RNAcentral describes it as "non-protein coding lnc-JMJD7-PLA2G4B-2:23". Lineage: Eukaryota; Metazoa; Chordata; Mammalia; Primates; Hominidae. The record is from RNAcentral.
AGACACCCUGCGUCCCUCCCUUGCUCGCAGCAGUUGCUGUGGCGGUCCUCCCGUGCACCCCCCCUUCUGCCCUCACUGCCCCUGGGGGUCCUCAUCACGGACCCCCUAACUCGGCAUCCUGGACACCACCACCCCGCACCUUUCCACAGUGCAGCUCUGCUCGUGCCUGUGAAGCCUCCCACAGCCUGGGAAGGAAAAUCCAGACUUGCCAGACCUUGCCUCAGCCAGGCCUUGGAAGCCUGCCAGCUUACCUAACCAGACCCUCAGCCCAUGGAGUCCUGUGUGAUGUUGUGAGCGUGGGAGGACAGACUGAACUGCUCGGCCCGUGGAGUCCUGUGUGAUGUUGUGAGCGGGGAGGACAGACUGAACUGCGUGGUGCUUCGCACAUAGACCUCAACAGGGAUUGGCAUUUUGAAGCUGUUGGCGGGGGCUGUGGACUGCUUUUCUUCCUUUCUAGCUCAACGGCAGCUAAAGCCACUGCAUACAAUGCAAGGACUGGCUCCUGUUUGGCCACGACUGAUUGCAGCCCCUGGUGAAAUGAGAACCCUGUGGGUCGGAACAAAGUUUGGAUUAUUUAUGUUGCAAGUAACUAAAAUCUCAAGUGAAACUGGUUUAAACAUUAUAUUUUUAUUAUUUAUUUAUUUAUAUUUAAUUCUUUUUUAGAGACAGGGUCUUCUUAGGUUGCCCAGGCUGGUCUUGAACUCCUGGCCUCAACGAUCUUCCCACUUCAGCCUCCUGCAUUGCUGGGAUUAUAGGUGUGAGCCACCAUGCCUGGCUUACACAGUAUAAAGGGAAUGCAUUGGCCCACACAGUGGAAAAAAAUAUCUAGUAGGAAUAGGAAGGACUUCAGGAAGAGUUGGGGCUCACAGGCACACCCUCUCCCUAACUCUUCUCCCCCGGUUCAACCUGGAUCCAGGGAUCCACACUCUGCUCCGAGAGGCCAGCACGCAGCCACUGGAAAAUGAGCCAGUGGGAGAGGGCAGCUCCAUGUUUAUUGAUCAGCAGACUAUGUCUUUUUGUUUGAAACUUCUAAAUAAGAUUACAAAAAGAAAAAAAAUAGAAGCAUUGCGUAUUAACUGCAUUGGUUAACCAACAUUGGAACCCAAUACUCUUGUAUUAGGCCCGCAUUUACCUGAGUAAACUCAGUGGUUUUCUGUCCUAAGCAUGCUUGCCUGCUACAUCCCAUGGAGAAAAUAAACAGUGAAACACUUUCCUCAUCUUCAAGGCAAUUGUCUCAGGCAUCCUCCAGGCAUCAUGAAGGAGGGUGAGCGAGGGUGCGAGGUGGAAAGGUCCAGGCCGCGGCUGUGACUCCCGCGGGUGAACCACAGCUCCACAGCCCCAAAUCCAAAGAUGCUCUUGCUGCAGCACGACAAGUGUUCAAAAGAGAACCAGGCCCAGCCCGGAGAAAGGAAAGCCAAAAGCCAACUGAAUGAAUGACCCUCCCCCAGAAGAGCAACCCUGCCCCCAGGCCAUCCAAGUGCGAACAUUACCAGGUGCCAGCAGGGAAAGGACUCCGCUGCCUGACGCCUCUCCCACCUGAGAGCGCAGAGGUAGGGAGAUCACAGUGCCUGAGAGGUUUUCCUCCACGGAGAAAUCAGAGACCUCAACCUGCUGCCCUCUAAAGCAGCUUUCUGUAUCCAGACAAAACUUACAUAUGUACACGUUGUUUUAAAACGACAUACUCAUGUGACACACAUGUAUAUAAAUUCAUGUUUAUAUAUGACAAUUGAGGAGAGUUAAAGAACAAGAUAAUUCUGGAUGGAAAAAUCAGUUUGCCUGGGCAUCUGUAAACCUUUGGGCAAGUGAAUUCCCUCUUCUCUCUCAGUUCACCCUUUGGUGACCUCCACCGUGGCUGCAGACUUCAGGUGGUCCUCACGCAUUCACAGAACUGUCUGCUUAGGUUACAGCACUUUGGGAGGCCGAGGUGGGUAGAUCACGAGGUCAGGAGAUCGAGACCAUAUUGACCAACAUGGUAAAACCCCAUCUCUACUAAAAUACAAAAAUUAGCCGGGCGUGGUGGCGGGUGCCUGUAGUCCCAGCUACUUGGGAGGCUGAGGCAGGGGAAUCACUUGAACCUGGGAGGCGGAGGUUGCAGUGAACUGAGAUUGCGCCACUGCACUCCAGCCUGGGUGACAGAGACUUCCUCUCAAAAUAAAAAUAAAAAUAAUAAAAUAAUAAAUGGUUCUUUUCUAUGCGUCUAAUGAAUUUAAGUGCUUGUUAAGACUAAAAACCAUGUUAUGCAUUUCCUGCUCUUAAAACUAAAUUAUGUAGAAAGUAAGCUAGGGAGUGUA